RNAcentral lists this non-coding RNA (31 nucleotides) under Homo sapiens (human). Lineage: Eukaryota; Metazoa; Chordata; Mammalia; Primates; Hominidae. The record is from RNAcentral.
CCCUGGUUUGCAUUUUACCCUCGGAUGAAGC